Molecule: unclassified non-coding RNA, 1335 nt
Filed under: Hevea brasiliensis (rubber tree)
Lineage: Eukaryota; Viridiplantae; Streptophyta; Magnoliopsida; Malpighiales; Euphorbiaceae
Source: RNAcentral
CCCCCACACACAUUACAUAUACCAAGAAGUCACCCACCACCAUCGAUUCUUUCUUUAUUUUUCCUUCCAUAAAAAAGGAUCAAAAUUCGUUUGAGCUCAUUACCUUCAUCAAAUCCUUUAGCUUAGAUGAUUCUGGUUUUAAAUUUCCAAUUCAUUCCAUAAAGGGAUGAUUAUCCAUAUUUCCCUGUUCCGCUAGAUAGAAAUAAGUAACUUUUGCAUGGGAAAAGAAUGCCAGAUUUGCAAGCUGGAGUUCGGCGAUCACAGAGGGUCAAACAAAACCAGAAUCCUUCUGGUUUAGUUCCAACUGCUCGGCGUGGUGCUGGAAGAGCAGGUCGAGGUAGAGGCUCUAGAGCAAUGAACCAAGAUGAGAAUGCAAAGCUUUUAGUUGGUGGAGUGCGUGGCAGGGGACGUGCAGGUCUGGACUUGCCAGCAAGACAGGCAGUUGAGAAAAGUGCAGAAAAAUUGGCUGCUGGAGAAGAGGAAGGAAGCACAAGUCCGCUUCCUGAGAGGGUACAAUUUGGGAACUCCCCUGUGUACAAGUUAGAGAGAAAGCUAGGGAAAGGGGGUUUUGGUCAAGUUUAUGUUGGAAGAAGGGUGUCUGGUGGUACAGGUCGUACUGGGCCUGAUGCUGUUGAGGUUGCUUUGAAAUUUGAGCACUGUAAUAGCAAAGGAUGCAGUUACGGCCCUCCUUAUGAGUGGCAAGUAUAUAGCACUCUCAAUGGUUGUUAUGGGCUACCAUUGGUUCAUUAUAAAGGUCAACAAAGCGACUACUAUAUCCUAGUCAUGGACAUGCUUGGACCUAGCCUUUGGGAUGUUUGGAACUCUAAUAAUCAAACGCUGUCUGAACAGAUGGUUGCUUGUAUAGCAGUGGAGGCAAUAUCAAUUCUAGAACAGCUCCACUUAAGAGGUUUUGUUCAUGGGGAUGUUAAGCCAGAGAACUUUUUGCUUGGCCAGCCUGGGACACCCAAUGAAAAGAAGUUGUAUCUAAUUGAUCUUGGUUUGGCUUCAAGAUGGCGGGAUGCAACUUCUGGUCGUCAUGUUGAUUAUGACCAAAAGCCUGAUGUUUUCAGGGGAACUGUUCGGUAUGCUAGUGUACAUGCUCAUUUGGGUAGGACGGGUAGCCGAAGGGAUGAUCUUGAGUCCCUAGCUUAUACCCUCAUAUUCCUCCUUAAGGGAAAGCUUCCUUGGCAAGGUUAUGUUGGAGAAAACAAAGGAUUCCUUGUUUGUAAAAAGAAGAUGGCAACUUCUCCUGAAAUGCUUUGUUUCUUGUGUCCUCCUCCUUUUCAACAAUUUCAUGACAUGGUGACCAACAUGAGAUUUGAUGAAGAACCCAAC